This is a long non-coding RNA of Benincasa hispida (wax gourd), 1393 nucleotides long. RefSeq lists it as uncharacterized. NCBI's taxonomy places the organism in Eukaryota, Viridiplantae, Streptophyta, Magnoliopsida, Cucurbitales, Cucurbitaceae. The record is from RefSeq and is a predicted model, not a curated record.
UGCAUGUCUUGAGUUUCACAUCGAUGGUAGGAGGCUGAGACAUUGGGAUGAUGGGUUUGCAGCCAUUGCAGGAGGUGGGAUCUGGAGCUGGAGGAACAGUGGUAGAAGACACUGAAGGGGGUUAGAAGUUGCGAAGGAAAUCAUACCAAGUGUCGGAAGAGAGUAUGAAGCGUGGAGAUGGACUUGUCAUGUCAUGCUUUCAAAGUUAUAAAGGGAAAAAUGUAUGAAACUUGCAUUGUGGAAUAUGAAGAACUUAGUGAAGGCUAGGGCAUGCAGAAGGCGAGCAGCCAAACUUGUUUGAGAGAGCGAAGGAGGGGUGUUGAAGCAAGGGUUAGGCGGGCCGCAAAGUGCAACCUAUGUGUUCGCUUGAGGGGCAUUGAAGAGUGUGGUAGAGGCCUUGGGAGAUGUUGGUAUGUGACAAGUGUCAAUGCAAGUGCGCUGUGAGGGUCGGAGACAAGGGCUGGAGACGCGUCGGCCGAAAGAGGGGACUAUACGAUGCAAACCAGCCUAUGUGAUGGUAUUUCAACCUAUGCGUUGGUAUGAGAUGGAGGAGUUCAGUUUAACUACCAAGCUUAGUGGACCAGAUGUCAUGUUUAAAUGCUUUAAGUACACUUAGUGACUGAGUUGUUACCGUAUUAAGUCAUCAGCUCAAGCUUGCCUUAAUGUAAAAGGGAAGUCAAGUAGGAGAGCUUGGUUUGACAUUCUCACUCGUGCUGAGGAAAGUUGUUGCCAAUUUGAAGAUUUAUCAAUAUUGAGGACGAUCUAGGGUUGCCAAGAGAAUUUCUCAUGAAUUUGAGCUGAAAGUUUGAAGAUUUAUCUAAAUGUUCCAAGCUUUUGGAUUUCUUAGGCAGGCGAAGAAGAUUGAUAAAUUUUGGGCUUUACUCGGAAUCAGAGGCUCAAAUUUUAAGGCAACUACAUCUGAGGGAUAAGCACGCAGUUGACAAGUGAGGUUAUGCGCGAUUGAGCGCAAGCGUUGGCUAAGGAGUGGGCGCGCAAGGUGAGCGGAAGGUUGGGAGGGAAGGAGGGCAUCGACCGGGCGUGCUAAGGAGAGUGUUAGCAAGUGCUUAACGCAUCAGCAUCGUGGGCGUGUCUUAGAGCCUAAGUAAGUGUUGUGAGCGCAUUGCCACUUAUGAGCUGAGCGCAAGAUAAAUUAUCUUUAUAUCAUGUUACGCUGAAGUAUGUUAUGUGAUGUAAUAUGCUAUGUAAUAGAGUAUGUUUUGCGAUUGUAUACGUGGAAAUCAUGGAGGUUGUCUAUGGGUAAUGUUAAACAUAAGAAUGUAAGUUAAGCUCAAGAGGGAGCUCAUAGUUUUUACCAAAAGUAUUUACUGAUGUUACAGGGCAAACAAAAAUAGGAAAAGUCUAUCAUCCUUUGAGGAAGUAGCCCAAGACAGUG